This 460-nucleotide ribosomal RNA is filed under the name uncultured bacterium. RNAcentral's name for it is "partial 16S ribosomal RNA". It matches the Rfam family "Bacterial small subunit ribosomal RNA", at positions 338 to 795 of the family's 1533-position model. The record is from RNAcentral.
CCUACGGGGGGCAGCAGUGAGGAAUAUUGGUCAAUGGACGAGAGUCUGAACCAGCAAAGUAGCGUGAAGGAUGACUGCCCUAUGGGUUGUAAACUUCUUUUAUAUGGGAAUAAAUUGUUCUACGUGUGGGAUUUUGUAUGUACCAUAUGAAUAAGGAUCAGCUAACUCCGUGCCAGCAGCCGCGGUAAUACGGAGGAUCCGAGCGUUAUCCGGAUUUAUUGGGUUUAAAGGGAGCGUAGAUGGGUUGUUAAGUCAGUUGUGAAAGUUUGCGGCUCAACCGUAAAAGUGCAAUUGAUACUGGCAUCCUUGAGUACAGGUGAGGUAGGCGGAAUGCGUGGUGUAGCGGUGAAAUGCGUAGAGAUCACGAAGAACUCCGAUUGCGAAGGCAGCAUACUAAACUGCCACUGACGUUGAUGCUCGAAAGUGUGGGUAGCAAACAGGAUUAGAUACCCGUGUAGUC